GAAAUGCGAUACGUAGUGUGAAUUGCAGAAUUCAGUGAAUCAUCGAAGUCUUGAACGCAUAUUGCACCUGCAAGUCCGCUUGCAGGUACGCUUGUUUCAGUGUCGACCACACAUCACCACCACAAACCCACCCUUCGGGGUGCCGGGUCGAAUGGAGGUGGAGAUGGACGUCAAGCUUGACCAGAGCUCGGUCGUCUGAAAUUCAUAGGAGACAGCAUCGAACCACUCGUGAUCCCAAAAUGGUGUGACAGCGUACUUCGUAUGAGUCCUACCGCUAGUAAGACCACAAUUCAAGAGUGAGACCUCGAAUGCUUUUGCUUCAAAGGAAAAGAAUUCAUCAAAACUUCGACCUGAAAUCAAGCGAGAAUACCCGCUGAACUUAA
This 383-nucleotide unclassified non-coding RNA is filed under the name uncultured fungus. RNAcentral's name for it is "sequence contains ITS1". The stretch from base 1 to 105 matches the Rfam family "5.8S ribosomal RNA", at positions 50 to 154 of the family's 154-position model. Lineage: Eukaryota; Fungi. The record is from RNAcentral.